Molecule: non-coding RNA, 76 nt
Organism: Parelaphostrongylus tenuis
Lineage: Eukaryota; Metazoa; Nematoda; Chromadorea; Rhabditida; Metastrongylidae
Source: the annotation of a GenBank genome assembly
GCGUCAGUAGUAAAACGGGCUAGAGCACGCGCUCCCGUAUAGAGUGAUAAUGCGGGUUCGAGUCCCGCCUGACGCG